GAAUCUUGCGCAAUGGGCGAAAGCCUGACGCAGCCACGCCGCGUGUGUGAUGAAGGCCCUCGGGUCGUAAAGCACUGUCGGGAGGAAAGAAGCUCUGACGGUACCUCCCAAGAAAGCACCGGCUAACUCCGUGCCAGCAGCCGCGGUAAUACGGAGGGUGCAAGCGUUGCUCGGAAUCACUGGGCGUAAAGCGUACGCAGGCGGCGCGUUAAGUCGGGUGUGAAAGCCCGGGGUUCAACCCCGGAAUUGCAUUCGAUACUGGCGUGCUCGAGUGCGGGAGAGGGAAGCGGAAUUCCUGGUGUAGAGGUGAAAUUCGUAGAUAUCAGGAGGAACACCAGUGGCGAAAGCGGCUUCCUGGCCCGAUACUGACGCUCAUGUACGAAAGCGUGGGGAGCAAACAG
This 401-nucleotide ribosomal RNA is filed under the name uncultured bacterium. RNAcentral's name for it is "bacterial SSU rRNA". It matches the Rfam family "Bacterial small subunit ribosomal RNA", at positions 359 to 775 of the family's 1533-position model. The record is from RNAcentral.